UACGUAGGGUGCGAGCGUUGUCCGGAUUUAUUGGGCGUAAAGAGCUCGUAGGCGGUUUGUCGCGUCGGCCGUGAAAUCUCCACGCUUAACGUGGAGCGUGCGGUCGAUACGGGCAGACUUGAGUUCGGUAGGGGAGACUGGAAUCCCUGGUGUAGCGGUGAAAUGCGCAGAUAUCAGGAGGAACACCGGUGGCGAAGGCGGAUCUCUGGGCCUUACCUGACGCUCAGGUGCGAAAGCUAGGGGAGCGAACAGG
This 253-nucleotide ribosomal RNA is filed under the name uncultured bacterium. Its description in RNAcentral is "partial 16S ribosomal RNA". It matches the Rfam family "Bacterial small subunit ribosomal RNA", at positions 524 to 776 of the family's 1533-position model. The record is from RNAcentral.